Molecule: small nuclear RNA, 295 nt
Filed under: Microtus ochrogaster (prairie vole)
Lineage: Eukaryota; Metazoa; Chordata; Mammalia; Rodentia; Cricetidae
Description: 7SK RNA (ENSMOCG00000003421.1)
Rfam family: 7SK RNA
About the family: 7SK was discovered as an abundant small nuclear RNA in the mid-70s but a possible function has only recently been suggested.
Source: RNAcentral
UGUGAGGGUGAUCUGACCACUACACGGCACCCCACAGAUCGAUCUCCAGGGUUGAUUCAGCUGAUCUGACUGGCGAGGUGUAUGGCUCCCUCCUCCCUCACGGUUCCACGCAUGUCCCUCCCAAAGCUGCCAGCUCCACGGAAGAGGAAAACCUUCCUCAAACACAGGAGGACCUGUCUUUCUCUGGUCCAGGGUCCUCUCGUAGUUGGGCUUCCCUGAUAGAACCUCCAAAUGAGCUCUCAAUUAAAGGUGUAAAAUAGGCAAUGAAAAGAAGUGGACUGUUCUCCAUAUGUUU